CCAAAAGGAGGGAUCCCCUGUGACUGG
This 27-nucleotide non-coding RNA is filed under the name Cricetulus griseus (Chinese hamster). The record is from RNAcentral. Lineage: Eukaryota; Metazoa; Chordata; Mammalia; Rodentia; Cricetidae.